AAGCGGGGACGACCCCGCCGCUCCAUCCACAUCCGGGGACGGCCCCA
Regulatory RNA element from Luteimonas sp. FCS-9, 47 nucleotides. It matches the Rfam family "Guanidine-II riboswitch aptamer (mini-ykkC)". From Rfam's summary of the family: Simpler in structure and has fewer highly conserved nucleotide positions than the ykkC-yxkD leader. Despite this each of its two stem-loop structures directly bind free guanidine. Therefore, mini-ykkC RNA motif represents a distinct class of guanidine-sensing RNAs. The record is from Rfam. Lineage: Bacteria; Pseudomonadati; Pseudomonadota; Gammaproteobacteria; Lysobacterales; Lysobacteraceae.